RNAcentral lists this unclassified non-coding RNA (329 nucleotides) under soil metagenome. Its description in RNAcentral is "partial contains 5.8S ribosomal RNA, internal transcribed spacer 2, and large subunit ribosomal RNA". The stretch from base 1 to 120 matches the Rfam family "5.8S ribosomal RNA", at positions 35 to 154 of the family's 154-position model. The record is from RNAcentral.
GAUGAAGAACGUAGCGAAAUGCGAUAAGUAAUGUGAAUUGCAGAAUUCAGUGAAUCAUCGAAUCUUUGAACGCACAUUGCGCCCCCUGGUAUUCCGGGGGGCAUGCCUGUCCGAGCGUCAUUACAACCCUCAAGCUCAGCUUGGUGUUGGGCCCCGCCGCCCCGGCGGGCCCUAAAGUCAGUGGCGGUGCCGUCCGGCUCCGAGCGUAGUAAUUCUUCUCGCUCUGGAGGUCAGGUCGUGUGCUCGCCAGCAACCCCCAAUUUUUUUCAGGUUGACCUCGGAUCAGGUAGGGAUACCCGCUGAACUUAAGCAUAUCAAUAAGCGGAGGA